UUGCCAAUUUCUGUUUCCACUUCCGACGACACGAACGAGAGGUUUGGGGGUUUUGAGGAGCUCACGGCGGCGAACCACCGGCAGCAGGCUGCGGCAUCCCCAAGCAAAGAGGUAGGUAAAACAGUGGGUGAGAGUUUCGAGGGCGAGCCUCCAAUCUCUUUAAUGAUCCCUCCGCAGGUUCACUGUCACACGUUAGCACAGUCCAAAACAGCAUCGACGGCGGAGACACUCACCCUACGGAGA
This 243-nucleotide unclassified non-coding RNA is filed under the name uncultured fungus. RNAcentral describes it as "sequence contains ITS1". The record is from RNAcentral. Lineage: Eukaryota; Fungi.